This 1921-nucleotide long non-coding RNA is filed under the name Homo sapiens (human). RNAcentral describes it as "PREDICTED lncRNA (TCONS_00182897)". Lineage: Eukaryota; Metazoa; Chordata; Mammalia; Primates; Hominidae. The record is from RNAcentral.
ACAGAUGAGAAAACUGAAACAUUGAGAAGUCAAGUAACUUGCUCAAGAUUAUAUAGCUAGUGCAUAGAGGGGCAAAGAUUUGAACCAGAUUGCCUGGUUCCACAUGCACUUUAACCUGCUUUAUUUAGGCUUUUGAAAGCAACCUAAAUAGCUAACAUUGACUAAAUAAGUGCAGUAUACCUGGUCUGUGUGACAUUUUGCAGGUAUUAAAAAGUGAACAUUCUGAACCCUUUUAGCAAUAUGGCAAAUACUUCUGAUGUGAUGUAUGCAUAUAAAUAUGAUCGAAAGCAAAUAUCCCAAAAGGUUGAUGGCAGUUAUGUCAGGUUAGUAGCACAAUAGUUUCUUUUCUCAUUUUCUCACAUUUUUAGUAAUGUGUGUUGCCUAUAUUAAAAAACAAAUAUUAAAAAGUAGUAGCAUGUAUUAGAUCAGAGCAUGGGCUCAGACUGCCUGUGUCAUCUCUUAUUAGAUGUAUGACCAGGGACAAGUUAUUGACCUUUUGUUUCUAAGUCUCUAAGUUUAUCCUGUAAAAUGAAGAUAAUUGUAGUAACUACCUAAUAACAUGAUUGUAAGGAUUAAAUUAUUUAGAACACUAUUUGUUACUUGGAAAAUAUGCAAUCAUAAGCUAUUUUGUUGUUAUUGUUAUUUUACUACCAAAGCUUAUUGUUUCAGAGCCCCUAGGUGACCAGGCAAAAUGGCAGUUCCUUCCAGCUGGUCCUCAGAUGGGCACAUCUAUUAGCCUCUGCUCUUGUAAGAAGUUAGCUGCAGAACCCACAUGUGAAUCCUUGUAGUGCUUUAUCAAAUUUCUACUAUGAACUAAGAACUGAGUGCUAUGGGAGACACAAAGGAGAGUCAGGACUCUGGAGAAGAUCAAAUGGGAGCUUAGAUGUGGAAGCUCUUUGGAAACCAAGAAACACUCUGAAAAUGAAAAGGGUGGAAGAGUAAACUGUUCCUGUUUCUCCAUCUUGACAGGAAGCAGAAGUUCUCCUUAGCUGAUUUUUCUUCUUGCCUUAUACUGGGUUCUUUAACACCAGAACAAAAAUAAAUAAAUAAAAGAAUCUUCCAGAAAUUCAUGAAGAGACUUCAGGUCAGGAAAGCCUGAACUUUCUCAUCCAACACCCGUUCAAGUCGGAGGAUGCUGAUUAAUUCAUGAUGGAAAGGUAUCAAUUUCACAGCCCAGACCUCUACAUUCUUGAAAUGCUCUUCUCAUGGGAGACAUUAAAUAAGCUUUGAAUUAACUGACCAAUCAUGAUCUUUAUAGAAAAAUUGGAAGGAAGUACAGAAACAUGUGAAUGGAAAAAUAUCCAACCCGAGCAGGAUAAAACUGAUCAUCCUGAGGAUAUUGCCCUUGGAGUUAAUUUUUUGAGAGAAAUAAAACAAUAAACAUCAUAAGACACAAACCCCAAGCAACUGGUAACCCUGGGAUAUAAAAACAUAUCCAUUGAUAUUUAACCUACCACAGAUUGGCACUAAAUGUAACAACAGUAGGACUAGGACAACUUGGGAUCAUGUGAACAGACCAGAAACUACAGACUGCAACAGAAAUGUGCAGAUUGCCCAGGUGGUUUCUACAGCCUUGCAGCGAUGAAACCCCAUGUCUUAUAUACUUGGUGUUUCCUCUGUUUGAUUCUAAUGAGCUUCUAAUCUCUACUGAUGGUGUUUCUCUUUCUACCUCAUCAGCCCAGGGCUCAUUCAUUUUAUCCUGUUUCACCUAUGCUAUAGAUAAUAGAAAACCCAAGGCCACUCAAACAUAAGUAGCUUGAUCAAUGCUAAUUCCUGAUCAAGUCAACCCAAUAUCCAGCAUCAAUUAGAUAAUGUAAAUUGUAUUUCCUCACUAAUUUAUUAUAAAUUAUAAUAAAAUGUAAAGCAUAGUGUUUAUAAUAUACCAGACAUUAUCCUAGCUCUUUUGCAUGAAUUGACUUUU